Molecule: ribosomal RNA, 454 nt
Filed under: uncultured bacterium
Lineage: Bacteria
Description: partial 16S ribosomal RNA
Rfam family: Bacterial small subunit ribosomal RNA
Source: RNAcentral
GAUGAACGCUGACCGAAUGCUUAACACAUGCAAGUCAACUUGAACUUCGGUUUGGGUGGCGGACGGGUGAGUAACGCGUAAAGAACUUGCCUCACAGCUAGGGACAACAUUUGGAAACGAAUGCUAAUACCUGAUAUUAUGAUUAUAUGGCAUCGUAUAAUUAUGAAAGCUAUAUGCGCUGUGAGAGAGCUUUGCGUCCCAUUAGCUAGUUGGAGAGGUAACAGCUCACCAAGGCGAUGAUGGGUAGCCGGCCUGAGAGGGUGAUCGGCCACAAGGGGACUGAGACACGGCCCUUACUCCUACGGGAGGCAGCAGUGGGGAAUAUUGGACAAGGGACCGAGAGUCUGAUCCAGCAAUUCUGUGUGCACGAUGAAGUUUUUCGGAAUGUAAAGUGCUUUCAGUUGGGAAGAAAAAAAUGACGGUACCAACAGAAGAAGUGACGGCUAAAUACGUG